GGACGAACGCUGGCGGCGUGCCUACUACAUGCAAGUUGAGCGCUGAAGGUUGGUACUUGUACCAACUGGAUGAGCAGCGAACGGGUGAGUAACGCGUGGGGAAUCUGCCUUUGAGCGGGGGACAACAUUUGGAAACGAAUGCUAAUACCGCAUAAAAACUUUAAACACAAGUUUUAAGUUUGAAAGAUGCAAUUGCAUCACUCAAAGAUGAUCCCGCGUUGUAUUAGCUAGUUGGUGAGGUAAAGGCUCACCAAGGCGAUGAUACAUAGCCGACCUGAGAGGGUGAUCGGCCACAUUGGGACUGAGACACGGCCCAAACCCCUACGGGAGGCAGCAGUAGGGAAUCUUCGGCAAUGGACGAAAGUCUGACCGAGCAACGCCGCGUGAGGGAAGAAGGUUUUCGGAUCGUAAAACUCUGUUGGUAGAGAAGAACGUUGGUGAGAGUGGAAAGCUCAUCAAGUGACGGUAACUACCCAGAAAGGGACGGCUAACUACGUG
This 498-nucleotide ribosomal RNA is filed under the name uncultured bacterium. RNAcentral describes it as "partial 16S ribosomal RNA". It matches the Rfam family "Bacterial small subunit ribosomal RNA", at positions 27 to 507 of the family's 1533-position model. The record is from RNAcentral.